UGUUUAUCAAAAACAUGGCUUCUUGGUUAUAAGAUAUAAGAGGUCUGGCCUGCCCGGUGGAGUAAAUUCUCAACGGUCGCAGCUACCACUGUGCGAAGGUAGCGUAAUAGGUCGUCCUUUAAUUGGGGGAAAGUAUGAAUGGUCGGAUGUUGGAAAGACUUUAUUUAAAAUAGCGGUGGAAAUUUACUUUUUAGUGCAAAGGCUAAGAUGGGAUUAUUAGACGAGAAGACCCUGUUGAGCUUGGUAAUAUCUACUCGUGAGGGGUGGGGGAUAUGUUUUUUCGGGGCUGAAAGGAAGGGAAAAUAAUGCCUUCUUGAUUGAAUAUGAGGAUCCAGUAGGACUGAAAAGAAGAAGAUAGCUACCACAGGGAUAACAGCGCAAUCAUUAUGAUAAGGCCAUAUUUUAUUAAUGGUUUGCGACCUCGAUGUUGAAUCAGAAUUUCUUUUAGGUGUAGCAGCUUAAGACAGUGGGACUGUUCGUCCUUUAAAAUUCUACGUGAUCUGAGUUCAGA
This 511-nucleotide ribosomal RNA is filed under the name Abra lunella. RNAcentral's name for it is "partial 16S ribosomal RNA". It matches the Rfam family "Bacterial large subunit ribosomal RNA", at positions 1801 to 2615 of the family's 2925-position model. Lineage: Eukaryota; Metazoa; Mollusca; Bivalvia; Cardiida; Semelidae. The record is from RNAcentral.